GACGUAGGGGGCGAGCGUUGUCCGGAUUCAUUGGGCGUAAAGCGCGCGUAGGCGGCUGCGCAAGUCGGUUGUGAAAUUCCGGGGCUCAACCCCGGAACUGCGUCCGAUACUGCGUGGCUAGAGGUAGGUAGGGGAGAUCGGAAUUCCUGGUGUAGCGGUGAAAUGCGCAGAUAUCGGGAGGAACACCAGUGGCGAAGGCGACUUUCUGGCCUGUUCUUGACGCUGAGGCGCGAAAGCUAGGGGAGCAAACGGG
This 253-nucleotide ribosomal RNA is filed under the name uncultured bacterium. RNAcentral describes it as "partial 16S ribosomal RNA". It matches the Rfam family "Bacterial small subunit ribosomal RNA", at positions 524 to 776 of the family's 1533-position model. The record is from RNAcentral.